Molecule: ribosomal RNA, 486 nt
Filed under: Mesorhizobium sp.
Lineage: Bacteria; Pseudomonadati; Pseudomonadota; Alphaproteobacteria; Hyphomicrobiales; Phyllobacteriaceae
Description: bacterial SSU rRNA
Rfam family: Bacterial small subunit ribosomal RNA
Source: RNAcentral
GUCGUCAGCUCGUGUCGUGAGAUGUUGGGUUAAGUCCCGCAACGAGCGCAACCCUCGCCCUUAGUUGCCAUCAUUCAGUUGGGCACUCUAAGGGGACUGCCGGUGAUAAGCCGAGAGGAAGGUGGGGAUGACGUCAAGUCCUCAUGGCCCUUACGGGCUGGGCUACACACGUGCUACAAUGGUGGUGACAGUGGGCAGCGAGACCGCGAGGUCGAGCUAAUCUCCAAAAGCCAUCUCAGUUCGGAUUGCACUCUGCAACUCGAGUGCAUGAAGUUGGAAUCGCUAGUAAUCGCGGAUCAGCAUGCCGCGGUGAAUACGUUCCCGGGCCUUGUACACACCGCCCGUCACACCAUGGGAGUUGGUUUUACCCGAAGGCGCUGUGCUAACCGCAAGGAGGCAGGCGACCACGGUAGGGUCAGCGACUGGGGUGAAGUCGUAACAAGGUAGCCGUAGGGGAACCUGCGGCUGGAUCACCUCCUUUCUAAG